RNAcentral lists this ribosomal RNA (182 nucleotides) under Hyphodiscus sp. RNAcentral describes it as "partial large subunit ribosomal RNA". Lineage: Eukaryota; Fungi; Ascomycota; Leotiomycetes; Helotiales; Hyphodiscaceae. The record is from RNAcentral.
AUCAUCCGGUGUUCUCACCGGUGCACUUCGCUAGGUUGAGGCCAGCAUCGGUUCAGGUGGCGGGAUAAAGGCCUUGGGAAUGUAGCUUCUUUCGGGGAGUGUUAUAGCCCUCGGUGCAAUGCCGCCUACCUGGACCGAGGACCGCGCUUCGGCUAGGAUGCUGGCGUAAUGGUUGUAAGCGA